AUAAAUAACUUUGAUUGUUAAUGUAAUAUUUAUUAUGAUAAUAAUAUUAUUGAUUUUGAUUAUUUAAUCAAAUUAACGGUAUUUUCACAUAAACCAGUCGUAUUUUACUAGUGCCCACCUAAUGUAACUAUGUAAGGAAUGCUUACAUGCACCCCGGGAGUUUCGAGGGUUUGGUAGAAUAAAUAUUAUCAAAUCCUCCCUUAAAUUGUCCAAAUCGAAAGACGAAUGAUUAGUCUAUAAACCUCAUCUAGUCAUCUAUAAACUUGGCCGCUAAAAAUGUACUUGCAAAACCACGUGACCAUAAUAAAGAGUGAUAAGUGAUAACGUGGAGACUGUUUUACAUUUACGCUCGUUAAUAUCCAUAUGCUAUAUUUACAUAUUAUCCUGUUUUUUAAUUAUUCUUCGAUUCUUGUAUUUUUUUUCACAAAACAAAAUUCUACACACAAUAUUACUAUUUAAAUUGUAUUUAUCUUGUACUCGAGUUUUAUAGUUUGCACGUCUUGGUGUUUUUUUAUUUUAGUAAAAUGUUGUCUAAUCUCGGUAUUUCAUUGCAACGUAAAAAGUUCAGCGUUUGAGGUCUUACAAAAAGUGUUAUACUGAUUUUAAGUCUGCAAAAGAGAGCUUCUAGAUAACCUAGAAUAACUGACUAACAUGGACUACUCAAUAAAGAUGUGUCGUUUAUUAACAAACUUGUUCAAUUGGAUGAUUCACUAUAAAGUACAAUAUUCAGAACUAUAUAUUCAGGGUGUACAUUUUAACACCCCACUGGCCACCACCUUACAGUCACACACACACACACACAUGCAGAACUUAAAAAACAAAAAAAAUAUGCGGUGUCCUGAUGCUCGAAAUGUGGAACUCAGAAGUCACUGGAACUUAACCAUUUACGAGCUGAUUUCGUAGUACCAGUAUAGCCGACCACUUUGUCAGAACGUAAUUCCAAAGAAUUUUUUCGAAUAUACAAUCUAUUGGAGAACUUGAAAAUUAGAUGCACAAGUUGAAGUGUUUCAAACAUAAGAAACUGAAAAAAAACUACAUGAAUUCUAACAGUGAAUAUUUUCAGAAUGUUACUCUUCAAUUUAUAAUUUAAUAUUGAUAAAAAUCAGUGAAGACUUAAAUAAAGUUAAUGAAAAUUAAAUUAAAAAAAGAUAAAAUAGGAUUUUGAUUUUUC
Long non-coding RNA from Myzus persicae (green peach aphid), 1171 nucleotides. RefSeq lists it as uncharacterized. The record is from RefSeq and is a predicted model, not a curated record. Lineage: Eukaryota; Metazoa; Arthropoda; Insecta; Hemiptera; Aphididae. The transcript is spliced from 3 exons.